Molecule: ribosomal RNA, 497 nt
Filed under: uncultured bacterium
Lineage: Bacteria
Description: partial 16S ribosomal RNA
Rfam family: Bacterial small subunit ribosomal RNA
Source: RNAcentral
GAUGAACGCUGGCGGCGUGCUUAACACAUGCAAGUCGAACGAAGCAUUUACGACAGAUUUCUUCGGAUUGAAGUUGUUUAUGACUGAGUGGCGGUCGGGUGAGUAACGCGUGGGUAACCUGCCUUGUACUGGGGGAUAGCAGCUGGAAACGGCUGGUAAUACCGCAUAAGCGCACGGUGCUGCAUGGCACAGGGUGAAAAACUCCGGUGGUAUAAGAUGGACCCGCGUCUGAUUAGCUAGUUGGUGAGAUAACAGCCCACCAAGGCGACGAUCAGUAGCCGACCUGAGAGGGUGACCGGCCACAUUGGGACUGAGACACGGCCCAGACUCCUACGGGAGGCAGCAGUGGGGAAUAUUGCACAAUGGAGGAAACUCUGAUGCAGCGACGCCGCGUGAGUGAAGAAGUAAUUCGUUAUGUAAAGCUCUAUCAGCAGGGAAGAUAGUGACGGUACCUGACUAAGAAGCUCCGGCUAAAUACGUGCCAGCCGCCGCAGUAA